RNAcentral lists this ribosomal RNA (406 nucleotides) under uncultured bacterium. Its description in RNAcentral is "partial 16S ribosomal RNA". It matches the Rfam family "Bacterial small subunit ribosomal RNA", at positions 30 to 526 of the family's 1533-position model. The record is from RNAcentral.
AUUGAACGCUGGCGGCAGGCCUAACACAUGCAAGUCGAACGAGUGGCGGACGGGUGAGUAAUGUCUGGGAAACUGCCUGAUGGAGGGGGAUAACUACUGGACACGGUAUCUAAUACCGCAUACCCUCCUAUGUGCCCAGAUGGGAUUAGCUAGUAUGUGGGGGAAAGGCUCACCUAGGCGACUAUCCCUAGCUGGUCUGAGAGGAUGACCAGCAACACUGGAAUUGAGACACGGUCCAGACUCCUACGGGAGGCAGCAGUGGGGAAUAUUGCACAAUGGGCGAAAGCCUGAGGCAGCCAUGCCGCGGGUAUGAAGAAGGCCUUCGGGUUGUAAAGUACUUUCAGCGGGGAGGCGUUACCCGCAGAAGAAGCAACGGCUAACUCCGUGCCAGCAGCCGCGGUAAUUC